ACAGCAAAUUCCAUGGGAAAAGACAUGUUGAGUAAUUUACCUGAUGAAAUUCUGGGUCGCAUAGUUUCUUUUCUACCAAAUGAAUCAGCACUAGAAACCAGCCUCCUUUCCACUAGAUGGAGAGAUCUAUGGAAUGAAGUUCUUGUCAGGCAUGGAACUGAAGAGGAUAUCAUAGGUGUUGUUGCUGGCUUCAUGACACGUUUUGAGGAGGUUGAUCCAUUGAAGCAUCCCAGAAAACUUCAAUUUCACUUUGCUGAAGAGGGUGUAGUCUCAGCAACUGUUGCAAAUAAUAAUAAGCUCAUGCUUGAAUUCUCACCUUGGAAGGAAGAGCUUCAAAUGGGGUACUAUGAGUUGGUGUUCAACCUAAGUAAGCAACAAAACAUAACCACCUACCAAUGUUUUCCCUUCACUUUCUCAGUCAAAACCCUCUAUUUGAAAUCAGUGAGCUCUUUCACAAGUGAGGUAGCUACCUCAAUCAUUUCAAAUUUGGAUCAUCUUGAGAAUUUGGUGAUCAUUCACUGCAAAGGGUUGCAAACUUUGAGUAUUGACUCCACUUCUGAGCUUCACAAGUUAACCAUCCUGGAUUGCUUGGAGUUGAAGUCUCUCCAUCUCAAAACUUCUAAACUCAAGUCUUUUCGGUAUCGUGGGCCUCUCCCUUUGAUUAGGCCGGAAUAUCAUUUCAACCUGAGUGAUGCCAUGCUUGAUUUCAGACUAGGAUUCAGCUGCAGUGGUUUAAAGACCAAGGAUUUUGAUGCAACCCUAUUGACAAUAAAGAACUCUGAAGUUCUUACUCUUUGUAGAUGGACUUUUGAGGUUUUCUUUUUCAGGAAUUAAUAUGGCCUUCGAUUUCUCCUCUAUCUGGGAGCUUCAGAUUCUACAAAUUAAGAGAGUUAUGGUGGAUUGACAACUAUGAAUACAACAUGGAUGCCUUAUUCUUCUUCUUGAAAUUAUGCCCUUCCUUGGAGCAACUUUUUGUGACUAUUGAUCCUGAAAGCUAUUCAGCUGGAAGGUCCAAUUCAUGCUCAAUGAAAGGGACUAAAUGUACGGAACUGGAAAAUCUUAAACUCAUAAAAUUUAUGGGGUUUACAAGUCGAAAAGAUGAAAUCUCAUUGGCAAAAUGUUUAAUUCAUUUGAUCAAGGGAAAGCCUCCAAACAUAAAGAGUUCGGAUGGGAGUUGCUUGGAUGCCAUGUUUGUGCAGUGAGUUUUACAUAAUCACAGCAAACAAAGACUUUCUGCAAGUAUGACAGAAAGGAAUGAACAAUUCAUGUACUAAGCAUGCAUUCAAGGUAUUAUUACAAAUACAUUUGUUUCUUGUCUCCUACUGGUUCUUUUAGUGGUCUUGAAGCAAGGGUAUUUGUGGAUAAAAUUUAUUCAAAUUUGAAGAAUAAAAACCAACUGAUAAUCUAAUCUUUU
Cajanus cajan (pigeon pea) is the source of this 1414-nucleotide non-coding RNA. NCBI's taxonomy places the organism in Eukaryota, Viridiplantae, Streptophyta, Magnoliopsida, Fabales, Fabaceae. The record is from RefSeq and is a predicted model, not a curated record.